AGAAUGAAGAUGCUUUGGGAUCUGACUUCGGACUGUAAGAAUGAUCACACUCUGAAUGGGUGCAAAGGUAGCAGAUGACCUUCAAAGGAUGGUGAGAUUAAAUUUACCUACACCUAGAGAAAUAAUUGGAGCACAUGUCUAUUUGGGCCAAGAGGAUAAAGGCCAGUAGAGGAAUCAGAUCAAAGAACUUCCUCAGGGAAGUGUGCAGAGAACUGGAGUGGACCUUCCCCUAGGAAGCUGCCCAAAACGAGAGUGCUGGAAAGCUGGCCGCAGUGAGGCACUUCAGAUCCCAAGGGUAUGCUGGGGAAGCUGCCACAGGUGGGAGCACUUGCUGCUGGUCCCUAGGCACUGUUGAAACAACUGCACUGUCUGCAGGAGCUCAACAAGGCCAUUUGGUUCUGAAUACCACAUUCAAGAGGAGCAUUGUACACUGGAAUUUGCAAACCGAAACUGGAAGAUAGAAGUUUAUUUCUCUCUCCAGUCAUAAAGCUGUUGGAAAUUGAUGCUGGGAGCUGCUAGUGACCAUCUUUCCAGUUCUAUGUGUGUUUGUGUUGGUGAGUGGUAUCAACUUCUACCUCUAUCCAUAGAAAAAUAACAAUAUUUAUCCUUCUAAAUCUGCUAUUUCCUGAAUGAGCAAAUUAUCUUACAUCUGUUUUCAAUAAGGGGAUGGGAUUUUAAUACUAGUGCAGACAUGGUGUCAAAACUGCAGGCCCUAUGUAUGACAAAGUGUCAGAUCUGGGCUGUAUUCAUAAAGAUAAACAGAAGAGUGCUCCAUGGAGAUGCCUUCAUAAGCCAGGGCACAUGUAAGACUGUCAUCAUAAUUAGCACACAAUCUAAAGCUACAAAACACCAAGGCAGUCUACUACCCUGUGAUUGUUUGCCCCUAUAAUGAUUGGAAGCAUUCCAAUGACUGGAAUUACAGAUAAUAGAGCAACUUAGGAUAAAUUAAAAUAUCAGUAUCUUUAAAAUGUUUAGAAUAUAGGAAGAAUAAACUGAAUAAUAGAUAUUAUUUUUUGAAAAUGAUAGGAAGGCAUGAAAAAGAAAAAACAAUUUCAGAGAUUUAAAAAAAGUCAUUGAAGUGAAAAAGUCAAUAGAUGGGCUAAAUGGUAGACUAACUUCAUCGAAAAGAGAAUUAAUGAAAUGCAAAAUAGAAUUGAAGAAAUAAGAAUACAGC
Pan troglodytes (chimpanzee) is the source of this 1174-nucleotide long non-coding RNA. RefSeq lists it as uncharacterized. NCBI's taxonomy places the organism in Eukaryota, Metazoa, Chordata, Mammalia, Primates, Hominidae. The transcript is spliced from 4 exons. The record is from RefSeq and is a predicted model, not a curated record.